RNAcentral lists this ribosomal RNA (253 nucleotides) under uncultured bacterium. Its description in RNAcentral is "partial 16S ribosomal RNA". It matches the Rfam family "Bacterial small subunit ribosomal RNA", at positions 524 to 776 of the family's 1533-position model. The record is from RNAcentral.
UACGUAGGCAGCGAGCGUUGUUCGGAGUUACUGGGCGUAAAGAGUGCGUAGGCGGUGUUCCAAGUCUGUUGUGAAAUCUCCCGGCUUAACUGGGAGGGUGCGGCGGAAACUGGAAUGCUGGAGUGUGGGAGAGGUAAGCGGAAUUCCCGGUGUAGCGGUGAAAUGCGUAGAUAUCAGGAGGAACACCGGUGGCGAAGGCGGAUCUCUGGGCCUUACCUGACGCUCAGGUGCGAAAGCUAGGGGAGCGAACAGG